UGGUAAGGUAAUGGCUUACCAAGGCUAUGACGCUUAACUGGUCUGAGAGGAUGAUCAGUCACACUGGAACUGAGACACGGUCCAGACUCCUACGGGAGGCAGCAGUAGGGAAUAUUGCGCAAUGGGGGAAACCCUGACGCAGCAACGCCGCGUGGAGGAUGACACUUUUCGGAGCGUAAACUCCUUUUCUUAGGGAAGAAUUCUGACGGUACCUAAGGAAUAAGCACCGGCUAACUCCGUGCCAGCAGCCGCGGUAAUACGGAGGGUGCAAGCGUUACUCGGAAUCACUGGGCGUAAAGGGCGCGUAGGCGGAUUAUCAAGUCUCUUGUGAAAUCUAAUGGCUUAACCAUUAAACUGCUUGGGAAACUGAUAGUCUAGAGUGAGGGAGAGGCAGAUGGAAUUGGUGGUGUAGGGGUAAAAUCCGUAGAUAUCACCAAGAAUACCCAUUGCGAAGGCGAUCUGCUGGAACUCAACUGACGCUAAGGCGCGAAAGCGUGGGGAGCAAACAGGAUUAGAUACCCUGGUAGUCCACGCCCUAAACGAUGUACACUAGUUGUUGGGGUGCUAGUCAUCUCAGUAAUGCAGCUAACGCAUUAAGUGUACCGCCUGGGGAGUACGGUCGCAAGAUUAAAACUCAAAGGAAUAGACGGGGACCCGCACAAGCGGUGGAGCAUGUGGUUUAAUUCGAAGAUACGCGAAGAACCUUACCUGGGCUUGAUAUCCUAAGAACCUUUUAGAGAUAAGAGGGUGCUAGCUUGCUAGAACUUAGAGACAGGUGCUGCACGGCUGUCGUCAGCUCGUGUCGUGAGAUGUUGGGUUAAGUCCCGCAACGAGCGCAACCCACGUAUUUAGUUGCUAACGGUUCGGCCGAGCACUCUAAAUAGACUGCCUUCGUAAGGAGGAGGAAGGUGUGGACGACGUCAAGUCAUCAUGGCCCUUAUGCCCAGGGCGACACACGUGCUACAAUGGCAUAUACAAUGAGACGCAAUACCGCGAGGUGGAGCAAAUCUAUAAAAUAUGUCCCAGUUCGGAUUGUUCUCUGCAACUCGAGAGCAUGAAGCCGGAAUCGCUAGUAAUCGUAGAUCAGCCAUGCUACGGUGAAUACGUUCCCGGGUCUUGUACUCACCGCCCGUCACACCAUGGGAGUUGAUUUCACUCGAAGCCGGAAUACUAAACUAGUUACCGUCCACAGUGGAAUCAGCGACUGGGGUGAAGUCGUAACAAGGUAACCGUAGGAGAACCUGCGGUUGGAUCACCUCCUUUCUA
Molecule: ribosomal RNA, 1266 nt
Filed under: Campylobacter jejuni
Lineage: Bacteria; Pseudomonadati; Campylobacterota; Epsilonproteobacteria; Campylobacterales; Campylobacteraceae
Description: bacterial SSU rRNA
Rfam family: Bacterial small subunit ribosomal RNA
Source: RNAcentral